Drosophila ficusphila is the source of this 850-nucleotide long non-coding RNA. RefSeq lists it as uncharacterized. NCBI's taxonomy places the organism in Eukaryota, Metazoa, Arthropoda, Insecta, Diptera, Drosophilidae. The transcript has 2 exons. The record is from RefSeq and is a predicted model, not a curated record.
UGGUGGCAAUUUUUGACCGAUUUUCAGAAAUCAAAUUUUUGGCAACAGAAAAUUACUGCACUCAUCUGCACAGUUGUUCUCAGUCAACAUACAAGCUGUACAGCGUGUUUAACAAAGGACAAAUAUAGUACUCCUCACGAAGAGUACAACCAUACCUAUACUGUACUCACUUGAAGUGAGUAGUUGCCAUUUUAGCUUAUUUUAAGCUAGAUUUAGCAUAUUUUAAAAUGAAAUAGCUUGAAAAAUACUUGAAAUGCAUAUAGCUUAAAAUCUGGCUUAUUUCAAAUUUAAUUUAGCUAAUUUUGGCUUAAAAAAAUUGUAUUAUAAUUUUUGGUAAUUUUUAUCGAUAAUUUGGACAAAAGCAUAUUUUGUUGUUGGUAUUUUAAUAAUAAUCGUUAGCAAGUCUCGGUCACACUGAAAUUUUGCACAUGUUUGAUUUGCGAUUGUUGUUGCGUCGUUUUAGAAACAUGCCGAAAGUGACUUACAAACAGAAUUUCCGCGAUUCUUGGUUAAAUUUCGAAGAAUUGCCAAAGUGCCAACUGACUCCACAAAAGCGUACUGCUGCUUUUGUAAGGUGUCGAUUGGGGCCAAGUUAUUUGAGUAUGAACAUUGUUAAAUCAAAAAUGCGCAACAAAAUGUCUUUAAAAAGCUUAAACGCAAUUUUAAGAAUAAGAUAUGGACUGCGACGUCAUGGAAAAUGUUGCCAUGAGUACCAACUGCUAACAAAAUACCUCGCUUUAAUACAAUCUUCGGCAAAAUAUAAUGAAUCUAAUGAGGAAGUUGAUAAAAUUAUUUCUUUAAUUUAAUAGUUAUAUAAAUAUCGUAUUAUUAAAAGUAAAAAAAUCAACUA